GGGUUGUGAGGUUAAGCGACUAAGCGUACACGGUGGAUGCCCUGGCAGUCAGAGGCGAUGAAGGACGUGCUAAUCUGCGAUAAGCGUCGGUAAGGUGAUAUGAACCGUUAUAACCGGCGAUUUCCGAAUGGGGAAACCCAGUGUGAUUCGUCACACUAUCAUUAACUGAAUCCAUAGGUUAAUGAGGCGAACCGGGGGAACUGAAACAUCUAAGUACCCCGAGGAAAAGAAAUCAACCGAGAUUCCCCCAGUAGCGGCGAGCGAACGGGGAGGAGCCCAGAGCCUGAAUCAGUGUGUGUGUUAGUGGAAGCGUCUGGAAAGGCGCGCGAUACAGGGUGACAGCCCCGUACACAAAAAUGCACAUACUGUGAGCUCGAUGAGUAGGGCGGGACACGUGGUAUCCUGUCUGAAUAUGGGGGGACCAUCCUCCAAGGCUAAAUACUCCUGACUGACCGAUAGUGAACCAGUACCGUGAGGGAAAGGCGAAAAGAACCCCGGCGAGGGGAGUGAAAAAGAACCUGAAACCGUGUACGUACAAGCAGUGGGAGCCUCUUUAUGGGGUGACUGCGUACCUUUUGUAUAAUGGGUCAGCGACUUAUAUUCUGUAGCAAGGUUAACCGAAUAGGGGAGCCGAAGGGAAACCGAGUCUUAACUGGGCGUUAAGUUGCAGGGUAUAGACCCGAAACCCGGUGAUCUAGCCAUGGGCAGGUUGAAGGUUGGGUAACACUAACUGGAGGACCGAACCGACUAAUGUUGAAAAAUUAGCGGAUGACUUGUGGCUGGGGGUGAAAGGCCAAUCAAACCGGGAGAUAGCUGGUUCUCCCCGAAAGCUAUUUAGGUAGCGCCUCGUGAAUUCAUCUCCGGGGGUAGAGCACUGUUUCGGCAAGGGGGUCAUCCCGACUUACCAACCCGAUGCAAACUGCGAAUACCGGAGAAUGUUAUCACGGGAGACACACGGCGGGUGCUAACGUCCGUCGUGAAGAGGGAAACAACCCAGACCGCCAGCUAAGGUCCCAAAGUCAUGGUUAAGUGGGAAACGAUGUGGGAAGGCCCAGACAGCCAGGAUGUUGGCUUAGAAGCAGCCAUCAUUUAAAGAAAGCGUAAUAGCUCACUGGUCGAGUCGGCCUGCGCGGAAGAUGUAACGGGGCUAAACCAUG
This 1157-nucleotide ribosomal RNA is filed under the name Escherichia coli. Its description in RNAcentral is "partial 23S ribosomal RNA". It matches the Rfam family "Bacterial large subunit ribosomal RNA", at positions 1 to 1191 of the family's 2925-position model. The record is from RNAcentral. RNAcentral also lists the same sequence under 1 other name. Lineage: Bacteria; Pseudomonadati; Pseudomonadota; Gammaproteobacteria; Enterobacterales; Enterobacteriaceae.